Molecule: long non-coding RNA, 1040 nt
Organism: Gallus gallus (chicken)
Lineage: Eukaryota; Metazoa; Chordata; Aves; Galliformes; Phasianidae
Source: Ensembl
UUCACAAUCCUUAUUCAGCGAACAGAAGUGCUUCCCAAGUUGGUCUCUUGUCUAUGUUGCUGACUAAGGGUAUAGCAAUUCAAUUUUAGGUAUGUUGUGUGCAGAUAUUGUAAGUGUGUAGUUCUAAUUUUCAGCUAUUGCAGCACUAUAAAGAAAUCUAUGGUGUUGGACAGCCUCUUUCAGCUCUCAAUUGUUCUUCCAAAGGGAGGCUCCUCUCUCUUAAGAAAGGGUUAUUACAAAAGACUAUUUUCUGUUUCAAAGUAUUCACCAACCUUACAUUUUGCAUUGCAUAGACAUGAAAUGGCUCAAGUAUGGUGACAGCCAGCACUGAGUGUACACUGCCAAGGAACCAUAUUUAGCAGAUUGCCACGAAACGAUCAUGGUCUGAUUAACAGAGAACAAGUGGUGAGUCCUAGAAAGGCUGGUUAUCUUGCCAGUCCAAUGUAAUUAUGAUGUAACUAAUAAGUAAGAGUUAUUAUAUUGCUUUUGUUUACUCCGUCCUGCGAAGCACAGUCUUCAUGUGUUUGUAGGUAGUCAGCUGACUAUGCAGAAGCUAGCAAAAAGUACACCAUAGUUGGGAUGGUCUUUUCUUAAAUUUGCAUUGUGUUAGUGAGUCAAGAAUGCAAAGAACAGUAAUACACAUGUUUUCAUAGAGUCAUUUGAGCUAAAAGGGAUGCUUAAAGGUCAUCGAGUCCAACUCCCCUGCAAUGCACAGGGACACCUGCAGCUCCAUCAGUGCUCAGAGCCCAUCCCCUGACCUUGGGUGUCUCCAGGGAUUGGGCACCCACCACUUCUACCAGAGAGUUACUUAAGAAGCUGAUGUUCCUCUGCCUCCAGAAGUUGGAGAUUUGUAAAAGACCUUCGAAAGCAGAGAAGCCAUAGGCGUGGGAAUGGACAACACACCAUUAUUAUGGAAUAUGACAGUAAGUAUAUAAGUCAAAGAGCUGCAAAGAACCUUAAUUCAAAUAAGAAGCACUUUACAGUAUCUAAAUAAUGUAAGGAAAGACGCAUUUCAGUUAUUGCUGUCAUUUCUUUUUCCU